Molecule: ribosomal RNA, 432 nt
Filed under: Scolopendra morsitans
Lineage: Eukaryota; Metazoa; Arthropoda; Chilopoda; Scolopendromorpha; Scolopendridae
Description: partial 16S ribosomal RNA
Source: RNAcentral
UUUAAUAGACGAACAGUCUACCUUUGUAAACUCCUGCGCCAACUAGGUAUCUUAAUUCAACAUCGAGGUCACAAACUUUAUUAUCGAUAAGAACUCUCUAACAAAAUUAUGCUGUUAUCCCUAUGGUAAUUUAUUCUAUCAAUCAUUAUUAAUGGAUCACUUAUCUCUUUUAAAUUUUAAUGUUUUAUAUCAAGGUCGCCCCAACCAAAUAUAUCUAUUCUUAUCAUACUCUAAUAAUCUAAAAAUAAAUAUAUUAAACUCAAUAGGGUCUUCUCGUCUUUAUGUUCUAUAUCAGCAUUUUUACUGAUUAUUAAAAUUCAUAUAUACAAAUAAUAUAGAAGAUCUUAUGUCUAACCAUUCAUUCAAGACUACAAUUAAUAGCCAAAUUAUCAUGCUACCUUCGCACAGUCAAAAUACUGCGGCUAUUUAUCC